RNAcentral lists this ribosomal RNA (348 nucleotides) under uncultured eukaryote. Its description in RNAcentral is "SSU rRNA". It matches the Rfam family "Eukaryotic small subunit ribosomal RNA", at positions 591 to 943 of the family's 1831-position model. The record is from RNAcentral.
CCAAUAGCGUAUAUUAAAGUUGUUGCAGUUAAAAAGCUCGUAGUUGAACUUCAGACCUGGCUGGGCGGUCUGCCUAACGGUAUGUACUGUCCGGCUGGGUCUUACCUCUUGGUGAGCCGGCAUGCCCUUCACUGGGUGUGUCGGGGAACCAGGACUUUUACCUUGAGAAAAUUAGAGUGUUCAAAGCAGGCUUAUGCCCGAAUACAUUAGCAUGGAAUAAUAAAAUAGGACGUGCGGUUCUAUUUUGUUGGUUUCUAGAGUCGCCGUAAUGAUUAAUAGGGAUAGUUGGGGGCAUUAGUAUUCCGUUGCUAGAGGUGAAAUUCUUGGGAUUUACGGAAGACUAACUAU